RNAcentral lists this ribosomal RNA (307 nucleotides) under uncultured bacterium. RNAcentral's name for it is "bacterial SSU rRNA". It matches the Rfam family "Bacterial small subunit ribosomal RNA", at positions 29 to 327 of the family's 1533-position model. The record is from RNAcentral.
AACGAACGCUGGCGGCGCGCCUAAUACAUGCAAGUCGAGCGAGAAGACGUAGCAAUACGUUUGUAAAGCGGCGAACGGGUGAGGAAUACAUGGUAACCUACCCUCGAGUGGGGAAUAACUAGCCGAAAGGUUAGCUAAUACCGCGUACGCUCCUUGGACUUCGGUUCAGGGAGGAAAGCGAUACCGUGGGUAUCGCGCUCUUGGAUGGGCUCAUGUCCUAUCAGCUUGUUGGGAGGUAACGGCUCACCAAGGCUUCGACGGGUAGCUGGUCUGAGAGGACGGAUCAGCCACACUGGCACUGCGACAC